This 400-nucleotide ribosomal RNA is filed under the name uncultured Alphaproteobacteria bacterium. RNAcentral describes it as "bacterial SSU rRNA". It matches the Rfam family "Bacterial small subunit ribosomal RNA", at positions 9 to 432 of the family's 1533-position model. Lineage: Bacteria; Pseudomonadati; Pseudomonadota; Alphaproteobacteria. The record is from RNAcentral.
GAGUUUGAUCGUGGCUCAGAACGAACGCUGGCGGCAGGCCUAACACAUGCAAGUCGAGCGGGCGCGAGCGAUCGCGUCAGCGGCGCACGGGUGAGUAACGCGUGGGAACCUGCCCUUUGGUACGGAACAACCCUGGGAAACUAGGGCUGAUACCGCAUGAGCCCCGCGAGGGGGAAAGAUUUAUCGCCGAAGGAGGGGCCCGCGUCCGAUUAGCUAGUUGGUGGGGUAACGGCCUACCAAGGCUGCGAUCGGUAGCCGGUCUGAGAGGACGAUCGGCCACACUGGGACUGAGACACGGCCCAGACUCCUACGGGAGGCAGCAGUGGGGAAUAUUGGACAAUGGGCGCAAGCCUGAUCCAGCCAUGCCGCGUGGGUGAAGAAGGCCUUCGGUUGUAAGACC